UGUGUGUUGGAUAAUGGUGAGGUGAUUUGGCCUAGUAAAUUUGUUUGAUCUUUGUAGCGUCAAAGUUGCAGAAAUUUUACCCUCUCAUUUGCAUUAAGAAGAAUGUUUCUGCGAAGCAUGGAGCACAAUUUCUAAAAAAAAAAAUUUUCAAUUCAACCCCAGAGUUUUAGAGUUUCAUAAUUCGAUCUCCAAAGCUGCCAUAAGUCUCUCAAUCAGGUCCUAAAGUGGGUUGUGUCUGAAUCUCUAAGUUUUCCCUUAUUCUGCUGUGGCCCAAAACUUGGGAAAAUUGAACUAAUUUCGCCCUCUUGAGCUUAAUCCUCUGUUUGCAUGUUUCUUGAUAGAUUAAUCUUGGGGAUUUAAUGCUUAAUCAAAGCUUAUUAAUUUUAGUGGGGUUUUAUCUUGUUGGACUUGGCUACUUAUUUGGGUUACUUGGAUUUGGGUUAAGUUGUUUUUAUGUGGGCUUGGCCUGAGCUGAGGGGCUGAGACCCAUCAGGUUGUUGGAAUAUUCUUUGGGCCAAUAAAUGGCCUAUUUCCCUUUGUUUUGGAUUCCUGUUGGGCUUGGAAGGUUUUGGCCCAAGCAAAUAAAUAAAAUGGCCCAAUGGCCUGUUCUCUAAGAUUCUGGUAACUGAAUUGGCAAAUCAGUCCCUGGAUUUCUCCUUAACUAUACUGUGGCCCUGGACAUUUUCAAUUUCUUUCAAUUGGGUCCCUAAUGUAAUUGCACAUAGGUCCCUGAA
Molecule: long non-coding RNA, 734 nt
Filed under: Coffea arabica (coffee)
Lineage: Eukaryota; Viridiplantae; Streptophyta; Magnoliopsida; Gentianales; Rubiaceae
Description: long non-coding RNA (CARA_LNC001215)
Source: RNAcentral